UCACAAUCCACACAAAUGAAGGCCCACAGCAACUUCCACCACCACCUUAAACUGCUAAAUGCCGCCAACCAAUAACCGAAAAUCAAACACCAAUACAGCUAUAAUGCCUUUUUUCGGUUUUUGUUUAAUUUGUUAUUAAUUGUAUACGCUGCCUCAACCAAUACAUCCAUCAUUUCAAUUCAAAAUCAAAGAUUUCCUUGAACACGGGGAGCCUCUGUGUAUUAAUUUGGUCAUUCCUAAUUGUUGCGAGGGCAAGAAAGUGGUUGUUUUUACAAGAUAUUUUGGAGGAUAAGAAGGUGUUGGAGAAUUUAUUUGGUAGGCAAAGGACAAAUGCUGUGAUUUUGUAGGAAAUAUCAAUUUUCAAGGCGACAAUUCUGGGUGCCUUCUUUAGAAGCGUAAACUUGUAACUACUGGAAUCCAAGUUCCAACAUGCUGUGAAUAAAGAGAUCGGUCUCUGUAUUUCUAAUCCUCUCUCUAUUCUACUUCAUAUCAUUUGUAGAAUAUGGACCAAGGUACAGCAUAAAAAGCAUCAAUAUGGAUUCAAAAUCUUAACUGUUCUGCUUCAAUUUACAGCUAUUUCACAGCUUUUCUGGCUUUUGCAUAAAAAUUGUUUUGGGCUUUGCUUGUUCUGGGUUUUGCUUCAAUCUUACUGGGUUUUAAGGUGAAGGCUGCGGUGACCGUUCGUUUUGGUGAGUUGGCACUGACGACGGUGGGGGGAGCAUUUGGUUGGGGAAGAAAGGUCCCAUUUUUUUCCUUUCUUUCUCUCUCUCUUUUUUUUUUUUUUUUGGUCUUUUUAAGUGAAUAGACGGCUUUACCCUCCCCUAUUUUGGUAUAAAAUGGGCAAUUUAAUUUUGGUAGUCAACUGAGGAAAUUGUUGAUAGAAACCAUCCAAAAGAGCCUCAUAUGCAACAGUUGGAAGGUUAUGGGUGAUGGCUGCAACAAUUGAAAUGUGUUCGUAAAAAGUCUGCUAGUAUUUCAAAGAUUCGGGAUUUCUACUGCAAUUAUCCC
This 1008-nucleotide long non-coding RNA is filed under the name Olea europaea subsp. europaea. Lineage: Eukaryota; Viridiplantae; Streptophyta; Magnoliopsida; Lamiales; Oleaceae. The record is from RNAcentral.